Molecule: transfer RNA, 74 nt
Filed under: Promethearchaeota archaeon
Lineage: Archaea; Promethearchaeati; Promethearchaeota
Description: Candidatus Lokiarchaeota archaeon tRNA-Lys
Rfam family: tRNA
About the family: Transfer RNA (tRNA) molecules are approximately 80 nucleotides in length. Their secondary structure includes four short double-helical elements and three loops (D, anti-codon, and T loops).
Source: RNAcentral
GGACCGUUAGCUCAGACAGGUAGAGUGGUGGACUCUUAAUCCAUUGGUCGGGGGUUCGAUUCCCUCACGGUCCG